GAUAAUACAGCUUUUGGUUGGCUUUGCUUUUGUGCCCGGUGUGUGUGUGUGUAUGUGAACCGAGCUCAUCGUGGUUUACACACAACAAACCGAGUUUGAGGAUUUCGAUGAAACAGCCACCCACCCUUCGACUUUCACUUCCUUGUUUUUGCAGGGCGAAUUCGGCGUCUACCUGGUCUCUGACGGGACCAGCCGUCCGUAUCGGUGCAAGAUUAAAGCACCUGGCUUUGCACACUUGGCCUCUUUGGAUAAAAUGUCCAAGGGACACAUGCUUGCUGAUGUGGUAGCCAUCAUUGGCACCCAGGAUAUCGUCUUUGGCGAAGUGGACAGAUAGAUCAACGUCCGUUCCGGGGGGAGGGAGGGGGGGAGACGGGAUAGGAACCCACUCCUCACUCUGGAUGCCGUCUGCCCCCCACCAGGAAUCUUCACUCAGCGUCCUACUACUGUUUGUUGCGUGUAACUAUAUUUGUUUGUAAUACAACGCUGGGACACCAGGCCAGGAUGAGCAAACAGAAUAAUAAAACUGAUCUCUCAAAAUAUAAAUGUGUUUGU
Long non-coding RNA from Notechis scutatus (mainland tiger snake), 552 nucleotides. The record is from Ensembl. Lineage: Eukaryota; Metazoa; Chordata; Lepidosauria; Squamata; Elapidae.